RNAcentral lists this ribosomal RNA (253 nucleotides) under uncultured bacterium. Its description in RNAcentral is "partial 16S ribosomal RNA". It matches the Rfam family "Bacterial small subunit ribosomal RNA", at positions 524 to 776 of the family's 1533-position model. The record is from RNAcentral.
UACGGGGGGGGCAAGCGUUGUUCGGAAUUACUGGGCGUAAAGGGCUCGUAGGUGGCCAACUAAGUCAGACGUGAAAUCCCUCGGCUUAACCGGGGAACUGCAUCUGAUACUGGAUGGCUUGAGAUUGGGAGAGGGAUGCGGAAUUCCAGGUGUAGCGGUGAAAUGCGUAGAUAUCUGGAGGAAUACCGGUGGCGAAGGCGGCAUCCUGGACCGGCAUUGACGCUGAGGAGCGAAAGCCAGGGGAGCAAACGGG